AUUGAACGCUGGCGGCAUGCCUUACACAUGCAAGUCGAGCGGCAGCGCGGGGGCAACCCUGGCGGCGAGCGGCGAACGGGUGAGUAAUACAUCGGAACGUGUCCAGUAGCGGGGGAUAACCUGUCGAAAGAUAGGCUAAUACCGCAUACGACCUACGGGUGAAAGCGGGGGACCGCAAGGCCUCGCACUAUUGGAGCGGCCGAUGUCGGAUUAGCUAGUUGGCGGGGUAAGAGCCCACCAAGGCGACGAUCCGUAGCUGGUCUGAGAGGACGAUCAGCCACACUGGAACUGAGACACGGUCCAGACUCCUACGGGAGGCAGCAGUGGGGAAUUUUGGACAAUGGGCGCAAGCCUGAUCCAGCCAUGCCGCGUGAGUGAAGAAGGCCUCGGUUGUAAGU
Molecule: ribosomal RNA, 398 nt
Filed under: uncultured bacterium
Lineage: Bacteria
Description: bacterial SSU rRNA
Rfam family: Bacterial small subunit ribosomal RNA
Source: RNAcentral